RNAcentral lists this transfer RNA (76 nucleotides) under Bacillota bacterium. RNAcentral describes it as "Firmicutes bacterium (anaerobic digester metagenome) tRNA-Thr". It matches the Rfam family "tRNA". From Rfam's summary of the family: Transfer RNA (tRNA) molecules are approximately 80 nucleotides in length. Their secondary structure includes four short double-helical elements and three loops (D, anti-codon, and T loops). Further hydrogen bonds mediate the characteristic L-shaped molecular structure. tRNAs have two regions of fundamental functional importance: the anti-codon, which is responsible for specific mRNA codon recognition, and the 3' end, to which the tRNAs corresponding amino acid is attached (by aminoacyl-tRNA synthetases). tRNAs cope with the degeneracy of the genetic code in two manners: having more than one tRNA (with a specific anti-codon) for a particular amino acid; and 'wobble' base-pairing, i.e. permitting non-standard base-pairing at the 3rd anti-codon position. Lineage: Bacteria; Bacillati; Bacillota. The record is from RNAcentral.
GCCAGUGUAGCUCAAUUGGCAGAGCACCCGCCUUGUAAGCGGGAGGUUGCGGGUUCGAUUCCCGCCGCUGGCUCCA